GUUGUUCCUGCCUUACUGUAGAUAGAGCUUAACAACUCAUAUAGCAGCUGAUGAUGAUGAUGAUUACUGUCAUGAAUCUCUAUUGAUUUGGGGCUGCCCUAAAUAGUAAACAGGAUUUUUUGCACCUGAGCAACCAAAGCUAAAGCACUCCUGUAGCAAGCUCCUGUGGUACAGAUGGCUGGAUUUACAACUUGCAGAAUUUGUUUGAGAACCACUGAAGAUGGUUGACAUGCACUGAUCCAUUUCAGGAUCAUGUUAGUGAUGCCAACUGGGGGAUGGUCCCAACUGAAUGUUAAGUGAGGGAGUGAUACAACUGGUCCUUCUGCGUGUUGGAAUCAGUGCAGCAUUGAGGAGGUCAGAAAGGGUAUAAAAGGGCAUAACUCACACACCUCCUCAUGUUUUUCUUUAAAUGCUCUUCUGUUCAUGGAGAUACCCUUGAAAUCUCACUUCUGUACCACUGAUAAAUUCUUUUGCUAUCCUCAUGCAUGCCCAGAUGCUGCUUCUUGUUCAUCCCUCUUUCCUGACCAGUAUGGGCCAGGACCAGUGCAAGACCGAGACAGGAAUGAAAUAUAAUGCACCUUAAAUUGUUCUACUUUACACGAAAGCUGAUUGCUUUGUCACUUCACUCUUAAAGCACCACUUUGUGUUUUGUUUCUCUUGUUCUUUUCUGACUGCUGCAGGUAUGGGCACAUGCCUUCUUGUCAUACUGUGCUUCUUUUUUCUUUGCUUCUCUGAGUCUGUUCUAGGAUUAUUUCUGUGGUAGCGUGGUCACAUCUGCUGUUUCACUGUAAUGCUGGAGUUAAGUGGAGUACGGUUUGUGCUUUUAGCUUCAGUGAACUUUGUCAUUCAUUAAUUGCCAUGGACUUAAAUUAUUUGUUGAUGUAAAUUACUUCUAAAUCUUUUACUUCACACUCAAAAUUACGAUAAUUGUAAGUAGAUGAACUGAAAUGACAAACCUAAUGAUGCAAUUGCUUCCUGAUAGAGCUCUUUAGAUAAGAGGCAGUAACAACUUUAGUUUUGUCAGUGUCUCUAAGGACUGUGUUUUCUUCAUCACAUAAGACUCCUAUAUGUAUCCAGGCAGGCUGGUCUAAUUUGUACAUCUAUCAGCGGAGCUGCAUGGCCAAAAGAAGAGUGGUGCUCCAAACAAAAAAGAUAAAUAACCAAUAUGGAAAAUUGAUCGAAAGCAAUUUUAUUUCACUUAGAACCAAAGGAGUGUUGAGUUUCUAUAUGACUGUUUCAUAUGGGUUCUGAAUUGUACAGCAUUCCAAAAGGGACUCAAAUACUUUCCUCAUUGCUUCACUAAUACGACUGCAAAUCUGGGCAAAUAUUACAAAUAUGAUCAGUCUUAUGUCUUGCUGUUCCCAUAUAUGCCACAACUGUGCACAAGCUGGGAGGAAGAAGAAAAAUUUCGAUCUCCAUAUGUGGUAGACUUUGAAUUGUGAGUGGUUUAGAAAGUUUUGUGUUAGGCAAAAUGGGAGUCUUUUUAUAGUUUUGUUCUUCAUUUUUAGCUCUUGUUAUUCUGGUCUUGCAGGAGCCAGUGUACUAAUUAGAUCAUUCUGCCUUCUGAAGCCUGUUGGUCAUAUUUUAAUUGUGCUUUCAAUGAUUUUUUUUUCAAAUAAAAUGGAAUGAGAAAAGUCUGUUGGAAAAUUUUGUGAUUUAUUUUUAGAUUUUUGGUGCAGUUUGCUUCU
Oxyura jamaicensis (ruddy duck) is the source of this 1688-nucleotide long non-coding RNA. RefSeq lists it as uncharacterized. The transcript is spliced from 4 exons. The record is from RefSeq and is a predicted model, not a curated record. NCBI's taxonomy places the organism in Eukaryota, Metazoa, Chordata, Aves, Anseriformes, Anatidae.